RNAcentral lists this ribosomal RNA (484 nucleotides) under uncultured bacterium. Its description in RNAcentral is "partial 16S ribosomal RNA". It matches the Rfam family "Bacterial small subunit ribosomal RNA", at positions 30 to 507 of the family's 1533-position model. The record is from RNAcentral.
AUUGAACGCUGGCGGCAGGCCUAACACAUGCAAGUCGAGCGGAUGAAGGGAGCUUGCUCCUGGAUUCAGCGGCGGACGGGUGAGUAAUGCCUAGGAAUCUGCCUGGUAGUGGGGGAUAACGUCCGGAAACGGGCGCUAAUACCGCAUACGUCCUGAGGGAGAAAGUGGGGGAUCUUCGGACCUCACGCUAUCAGAUGAGCCUAGGUCGGAUUAGCUAGUUGGUGGGGUAAAGGCCUACCAAGGCGACGAUCCGUAACUGAUCUGAGAGGAUGAUCAGUCACACUGGAACUGAGACACGGUCCAGACUCCUACGGGAGGCAGCAGUGGGGAAUAUUGGACAAUGGGCGAAAGCCUGAUCCAGCCAUGCCGCGUGUGUGAAGAAGGUCUUCGGAUUGUAAAGCACUUUAAGUUGGGGGGAAGGGCAGUAAGUUAAUACCUUGCUGUUUUGACGUUACCAACAGAAUAAGCACCGGCUAACUUCGUG